GCAAAUAUCAGGAGGAACACCGAUGGCAAAGGCAGAUCUCUGGGCCGUAACUGACGCUGAGGAGCGAAAGGGUGGGGAGCAAACAGGCUUAGAUACCCUGGUAGUCCACCCCGUAAACGUUGGGAACUAGUUGUGGGGUCCUUUCCACGGAUUCCGUGACGCAGCUAACGCAUUAAGUUCCCCGCCUGGGGAGUACGGCCGCAAGGCUAAAACUCAAAGGAAUUGACGGGGACCCGCACAAGCGGCGGAGCAUGCGGAUUAAUUCGAUGCAACGCGAAAAACCUUACCCAGGCUUGACAUACAC
This 304-nucleotide ribosomal RNA is filed under the name Microbacterium sp. Its description in RNAcentral is "bacterial SSU rRNA". It matches the Rfam family "Bacterial small subunit ribosomal RNA", at positions 690 to 991 of the family's 1533-position model. Lineage: Bacteria; Bacillati; Actinomycetota; Actinomycetes; Micrococcales; Microbacteriaceae. The record is from RNAcentral.